CGCUGACCCGCCCCUUCCUCCCUCUCCGCUCAGGGCUCCCGGGAACCAGGAGAGACGCUGCCCCGGAAGCUGAAGCA
This is a small nucleolar RNA of Balaenoptera ricei (Rice's whale), 77 nucleotides long. RefSeq annotates it as Z6 small nucleolar RNA. The record is from RefSeq and is a predicted model, not a curated record. Lineage: Eukaryota; Metazoa; Chordata; Mammalia; Artiodactyla; Balaenopteridae. The transcript has a single exon.